This 492-nucleotide ribosomal RNA is filed under the name uncultured bacterium. RNAcentral describes it as "partial 16S ribosomal RNA". It matches the Rfam family "Bacterial small subunit ribosomal RNA", at positions 29 to 507 of the family's 1533-position model. The record is from RNAcentral.
AGUGAACGCUGGCGGUAGGCCUAACACAUGCAAGUCGAACGGCAGCACAGUAAGAGCUUGCUCUUACGGGUGGCGAGUGGCGGACGGGUGAGGAAUACAUCGGAAUCUACUUUUUCGUGGGGGAUAACGUAGGUAAACUUACGCUAAUACCGCAUACGACCUACGGGUGAAAGCGGGGGAUCUUCGGACCUUGCGCGAUUGAAGGAGCCGAUGUCGGAUUAGCUAGUUGGCGGGGUAAAGGCCCACCAAGGCGACGAUCCGUAGCUGGUCUGAGAGGAUGAUCAGCCACACUGGAACUGAGACACGGUCCAGACUCCUACGGGAGGCAGCAGUGGGGAAUAUUGGACAAAGGGCGCAAGCCUGAUCCAGUCAUACCGCGUGGGUGAAGAAGGCCUUCGGGUUGUAAAGCCCUUUUGUUGGGAAAGAAAAGCAGCAGGUUAAUACCCAGCUGUUCUGACGGUACCCAAAGAAUAAGCACCGGCUAACUUCGUG